RNAcentral lists this ribosomal RNA (766 nucleotides) under Heterocarpus sibogae. Its description in RNAcentral is "eukaryotic LSU rRNA". It matches the Rfam family "Eukaryotic large subunit ribosomal RNA", at positions 42 to 650 of the family's 3401-position model. The record is from RNAcentral. Lineage: Eukaryota; Metazoa; Arthropoda; Malacostraca; Decapoda; Pandalidae.
AUUAAUAAGCGGAGGAAAAGAAACCAACCGGGAUUCCCCGAGUAAGGGCGACUGAAACGGGAAAAGCCCAGCGCAUAACCUCGCGGUCCUUGUUUGGCCGUCGAGGGGUGUUGCGUUCCGGUGGAUCCGUCCCGCUCGAGCCGCUUACCGCCUAAGUCAUUGCUUGAAAGCAGCCCCAGGGAGGGUGAUAGGCCCGUGUGGCGGCGCCUGUAAAAAGGGUGAAGGCGGCCCGGGCGGAGGGAUCUUCACCGUAGAGUCGGGUUGCUUAGUACUGCAGCCCUAAGCAGGUGGUAAACUCCAUCUAAGGCUAAAUACAACCACGAGUCCGAUAGAGAACAAGUACCGUGAGGGAAAGCUGAAAAGGACUUUGAAGAGAGAGUUCAAAAGGACGUGAAACCGUUAGGAGCUUAAACGGGUGGAACCGCGAAGGUCGAACGAGGGGAUUCAGCUCGUGGGCCUCCGGCGAGCAGGGUGCGUUUCAUACGAAUUACCAUGAGAGGACCCGGCGUGAAUUGGAAUUGCCGUGGCCACGCCCCUGCCUCCGGAGUGCCUGUGGGCUUACUUCUCCCUCUAGUAGGUCGCCGCGACCCGUUGCCUCGGACCCCCAGGGCCGUGCUGGAUUGGUAGCCCGGAUCUCACGGUCCGGGUGAUGACCGGCUGCGGUUCCGACGGGCCCGGGCGACGGUCACUGCCAGGAGGCCGGGCCGGGGUUUACUCCGGUGUUGGCGUCUCGCGGCGUGCAAGGGAUCGGUAAUCCACCCGACCC